This 1212-nucleotide ribosomal RNA is filed under the name Promicromonospora sp. AP36. Its description in RNAcentral is "bacterial SSU rRNA". It matches the Rfam family "Bacterial small subunit ribosomal RNA", at positions 21 to 1246 of the family's 1533-position model. Lineage: Bacteria; Bacillati; Actinomycetota; Actinomycetes; Micrococcales; Promicromonosporaceae. The record is from RNAcentral.
GGCUCAGGACGAACGCUGGUGGCGUGCUUAACACAUGCAAGUCGAACGGUGAAGCUCAGCUUGCUGGGUGGAUCAGUGGCGAACGGGUGAGUAACACGUGAGCAACCUGCCCCCUACUUCGGGAUAAGCCUUGGAAACGGGGUCUAAUACCGGAUAUGAACACUUAUCGCAUGGUGGGUGUUGGAAAGUUUUUCGGUGGGGGAUGGGCUCGCGGCCUAUCAGCUUGUUGGUGGGGUAAUGGCCUACCAAGGCGUCGACGGGUAGCCGGCCUGAGAGGGCGACCGGCCACACUGGGACUGAGACACGGCCCAGACUCCUACGGGAGGCAGCAGUGGGGAAUAUUGCACAAUGGGCGAAAGCCUGAUGCAGCGACGCCACGUGAGGGAUGACGGCCUUCGGGUUGUAAACCUCUUUCAGCAGGGAAGAAGCGCAAGUGACGGUACCUGCAGAAGAAGCGCCGGCUAACUACGUGCCAGCAGCCGCGGUAAUACGUAGGGCGCAAGCGUUGUCCGGAAUUAUUGGGCGUAAAGAGCUCGUAGGCGGUCUGUCGCGUCUGGUGUGAAAUCCCAUGGCUCAACUGUGGGCUUGCAUCGGGUACGGGCAGACUAGAGUGCUGUAGGGGAGACUGGAAUUCCUGGUGUAGCGGUGGAAUGCGCAGAUAUCAGGAGGAACACCGAUGGCGAAGGCAGGUCUCUGGGCAGUUACUGACGCUGAGGAGCGAAAGCAUGGGGAGCGAACAGGAUUAGAUACCCUGGUAGUCCAUGCCGUAAACGUUGGGCACUAGGUGUGGGGCGGGUUCCACUCGUUCUGUGCCGUAGCUAACGCAUUAAGUGCCCCGCCUGGGGAGUACGGCCGCAAGGCUAAAACUCAAAGGAAUUGACGGGGGCCCGCACAAGCGGCGGAGCAUGCGGAUUAAUUCGAUGCAACGCGAAGAACCUUACCAAGGCUUGACAUGUACGAGAAAGCCCCAGAGAUGGGGUUCUCUUUGGACACUCGUACACAGGUGGUGCAUGGUUGUCGUCAGCUCGUGUCGUGAGAUGUUGGGUUAAGUCCCGCAACGAGCGCAACCCUUAUCCUAUGUUGCCAGCGGGUUAUGCCGGGGACUCAUGGGAGACUGCCGGGGUCAACUCGGAGGAAGGUGGGGAUGACGUCAAAUCAUCAUGCCCCUUAUGUCUUGGGCUUCACGCAUGCUACAAUGGCCGGUACAGAGGG